AGCUGAAUUCGAAGUGUCACGGUUUCAUACUAAAAGUUCAAAGGCAAAUCUCGUGCAUCAUUCAUAUAAAUACUGAGUUCUUCAACUGUUUUGCUUUAUUACUGCAAAUAACAUACGUGUGAAUAUGAGCAAGAGGCGAAAUUCGAAUUUUACCGAUGCAAAACUACAGGACCCAGUGUCAUCCUAAAUAUGAAAAAAGAAGAUGUGGUAGGACUGCCAAUAUUACAACUAUC
RNAcentral lists this long non-coding RNA (233 nucleotides) under Mytilus galloprovincialis (Mediterranean mussel). Lineage: Eukaryota; Metazoa; Mollusca; Bivalvia; Mytilida; Mytilidae. The record is from RNAcentral.